UACAGAGGUCUCGAGCGUUGUUCGGAUUCAUUGGGCGUAAAGGGUGCGUAGGUGGCGUGGUAAGUCUGGUGUGAAAGCCCUGGGCUCAACCUAGGAAGUGCAUUCGAAACUGCGGAGCUCGAGUCCUGGAGAGGAAGGCGGAAUUCUCGGUGUAGAGGUGAAAUUCGUAGAUAUCGAGAGGAACACCGGUGGCGAAGGCGGCCUUCUGGACGAGUGACUGACGCUGAGACGACGAA
RNAcentral lists this ribosomal RNA (236 nucleotides) under uncultured bacterium. RNAcentral's name for it is "partial 16S ribosomal RNA". It matches the Rfam family "Bacterial small subunit ribosomal RNA", at positions 524 to 757 of the family's 1533-position model. The record is from RNAcentral.